Long non-coding RNA from Ictalurus punctatus (channel catfish), 1960 nucleotides. NCBI's taxonomy places the organism in Eukaryota, Metazoa, Chordata, Actinopteri, Siluriformes, Ictaluridae. The record is from Ensembl.
GUUUGUUUUUUAUAUAAAUCAAAAGCAACUUGUCUGGUUAUUAUCUUGGAUUGCUGAUGGUGUUGUAGCUAAAAAGAGAUUCUUUUUGUAAAGUGUGAAUAAAUUAUGUAUCAUGUUUCCUUUCUUUGACAUGAAUUGUCUUGUAUCAUGAUAUCUAUUAGUUGUUUUUGUCAUCCCCCCCCCCCCCCCAUGCUCAUGUUUGCUUUUUUGUAAUACUUGAAACCAAAUUUUUUGUAAAGAUGUUGGCACACUGAAUUAUAGAUUUAUAUGGUUGCUAACUUUCACUUCAAAAUACUUUUAAGAAAAAAAAAACUCCAGUGAAAUCUAGAGAAAAGUCGCAGAGAAAUAAAGAGCUGUCAUUUGUCACCAAAUGUGAUUUCUUAAAGCUUUGACAUUUCACCCAGUUUGGAAAGCAUAAAUUCGAUUAGUUUCGGGAAGCGUAGAUGCAGCACUGCCCUUGUUUCCUGUCCUCUUUCCUGUUUUCCUGUUUGUUUGGUCUUUGAUAGUUUCACAAGCUCUCACUGGAGGGAAGAAGUUAAGGGUUCGAAUGUAGGAGGCAGUGCAGACAUGUCUGGCCUACUGAAUUCUCUCUCUGACACACUUUUUCUCUCUCACCUGCUUGUCCUCCUUGUGCUCUGUUCUGUACUUUUUUUCUUCAGCUCAUUAAAAGCCAGUCACUUCUGAUAGUUGCAUUGGCUACCAUCAUAGCUGUUUGGGGAGUCAUUUAUUCUGUUUGUGAACAACAAUCUGACUCUGCCUCAUGCCAUCAGUAGGGUUAGUCAUGCAAUGGUAUCGAUUGUGAUUGAGAUGGAAAGUCAAUAAAUAUUUAGGAAAUGUCACUAUAUGAUGCACUGGACCAACUCUUGUUUACCAUUUAUGGACUACCAGCAAAACACUUGCACAAUGUUUUAAAAAGAAUGUUAAAUAUAUAAAUAUAUAUGAAGAAAUAUAGAUAUGAAAAAUAAUGGCAGCUGUUUUUAUUCUAAUAUUUAGGAAGUGUUUUAAAAAAAAACAAACAAAAAAAAAAAAAACACGAAUGGUAAACAAGGUGUUUUGGGUUUUAAUUUUUCCCCCUCUUCCCGUUCUCUUGGUUUUUUGUUGUUGUUUUUUUUUCCUUCUGAGUAGUGGUGUUUAUAACAGGGUCAGCUUGUGUUCCCUACACCUCUGUAUUUUUUCCUACCCAUGGUCAAAUAAAUUCAUCUGUUUCAAACCUGGUAGUGUUUUUCUUCUUUCAUUUCUCUACUAGGAAAAUUCAGUGAAAAUAUUUUAAGACAUUAGUGCCCUCUAGUGUUCAAGGAAAUGUUAACACGAGGGAGUAUUUUUGCUUGCUGAUGCUGGUCCUGUCCAGUAGGUGGCGUUCCUGCUCCACUGUCUGUCCGAACAUGUGGCGUAACGCAAUUAACCAAAGGAAAUCUCUUUUUAUGAUCCUGUGCCUGUCUUCCCCUGCUGAUGUGGUUAUGAGUUACUUUGGAUGCACCAGAAAAUGAUGCCCCAGGAGUUUCUGAACAGCUUCUGAAAGAAUAAAUGUUGAUCUAUUAUAUUUGCACUUAUAUAUUAUAAUAUUCUUACAUAAGAUUAACACUAUUUCUCUAUUAUAUUCUUAUCCACCUAAAAGCUGAAUGUAGUACAUAGUGUGUAAAGUAUUUCCAAAUAUUACCAAAAUAAAUCUUUUAUGGUGGUUUUAGCUCAGUGAUUAAGUGGCCAUGAGUUAUGAUCUCAGCACCGCCAAGCUGUCACUGCUGGGCCCCUGAGAAAGACCCUUAACCCUCGACUGCUCAGCUGUAUAAAUGAGAGAAAAGUAAGUCACUCUGGAUAAGGGUGUCUGCCAAAUGCUGUCAAUGUAAACAUUAUUAUAAAUAUUUCCAGUGCUAAAGUGAUGGAAAUUUUUGCUCUCUUCGGUGAAUCAGAUCAUUUGACUCAUAAGAGCCGACUAUUUCGGCUCCCAAACGGCUCAUUGUCA